This 468-nucleotide ribosomal RNA is filed under the name uncultured bacterium. RNAcentral's name for it is "partial 16S ribosomal RNA". It matches the Rfam family "Bacterial small subunit ribosomal RNA", at positions 28 to 507 of the family's 1533-position model. The record is from RNAcentral.
GACGAACGCUGGCGGCGUGCUUAACACAUGCAAGUCGAACGGAAAGGCCCUGCUUUUGUGGGGUGCUCAAGUGGCGAACGGGUGAGUAACACGUGAGUAACCUGCCCUUGACUUGGGGAUACCUUCAGGAACCUGGGGCUAAUACCGGAUAGGAGCUCCUGCGGCAGGGUGGGGGUUGGAAAGUUUCGGCGGUUGGGGAUGGACUCGCGGCUUAUCAGCUUGUUGGUGGGGUAGUGGCUUACCAAGGCUUUGACGGGUAGCCGGCCUGAGAGGGUGACCGGCCACAUUGGGACUGAGAUACGGCCCAGACUCCUACGGGAGGCAGCAGUGGGGAAUAUUGCACAAUGGGCGGAAGCCUGAUGCAGCAACGCCGCGUGCGGGAUGACGGCCUUCGGGUUGUAAACCGCUUUCGCCUGUGACGAAGCGUGAGUGACGGUAAUGGGUAAAGAAGCACCGGCUAACUACGUG